GCUCCUGUAGCUCAGUUGGUAGAGCAGAGGACUGAAAAUCCUCGUGUCGUUGGUUCGAUUCCGAUCGGGAGCACCA
This 76-nucleotide transfer RNA is filed under the name Bacteroides sp. Its description in RNAcentral is "tRNA-Phe". It matches the Rfam family "tRNA". Rfam says of the family: Transfer RNA (tRNA) molecules are approximately 80 nucleotides in length. Their secondary structure includes four short double-helical elements and three loops (D, anti-codon, and T loops). Further hydrogen bonds mediate the characteristic L-shaped molecular structure. tRNAs have two regions of fundamental functional importance: the anti-codon, which is responsible for specific mRNA codon recognition, and the 3' end, to which the tRNAs corresponding amino acid is attached (by aminoacyl-tRNA synthetases). tRNAs cope with the degeneracy of the genetic code in two manners: having more than one tRNA (with a specific anti-codon) for a particular amino acid; and 'wobble' base-pairing, i.e. permitting non-standard base-pairing at the 3rd anti-codon position. Lineage: Bacteria; Pseudomonadati; Bacteroidota; Bacteroidia; Bacteroidales; Bacteroidaceae. RNAcentral also lists the same sequence under 2 other names. The record is from RNAcentral.